This 296-nucleotide ribosomal RNA is filed under the name Cetomimus sp. NI1148. Its description in RNAcentral is "partial 12S ribosomal RNA". The record is from RNAcentral. Lineage: Eukaryota; Metazoa; Chordata; Actinopteri; Beryciformes; Cetomimidae.
AUGGCACCCUACACCGCUAUCCGCCCGGGAACUACGAGCAUCAGCUUAAAACCCAAAGGACUUGGCGGUGCUUUAAACCCAUCUAGAGGAGCCUGUUCUAGAAUCGAUAAUCCCCGAUUCAACCUCACCCCCCCUUGUUUUUACCCGCCUAUAUACCGCCGUACGUCAGCUUACCCUGUGAAGGUAAGCAUAGUAAGGCAUAGUUGAUGAUAAUCUAAAAACGUCAGUUCGAGUUGUCAGCGAUAUGAACCAGGGCAGAAAUAGGCUACAUGGCUUGGGAACCCGCAAAAUCAAAU